RNAcentral lists this long non-coding RNA (949 nucleotides) under Homo sapiens (human). Its description in RNAcentral is "CSMD2 antisense RNA 1". Lineage: Eukaryota; Metazoa; Chordata; Mammalia; Primates; Hominidae. The record is from RNAcentral.
ACUUGUCACACUUCCAUCAAACAGUACCUGCCCCUUAGGUGUGCUAGGGAAUAAAUGAAAUGCCUGGGACAUCAUCGUUAAGUGGCAUCUGAUGCAUAAGCAGUGCCCUAGGAAUGGGGUUGCCUGCCUUGGUCUCUAAAGGAUGGGUUCAAAAGGCAAGAGCAGCACACAAGAAGAUAGCUUCAAGCAGGAGAUAAAGCUUGGCCCAGGGCCCAAAGGGGAUACGACCCUUCAGCAAACUGACAUGCUGAAAGCUGCCCUAUGGAGAGGCUCAUGUGGCAAGGAACAGAGGGUGGCUUCUGGCCAACACCCAGUGAGGAACUCAGGCCCUCAGUCAAACAGCCUGCAAGGAACUGAACCCUGCCAAUAACCAGGCAGUGUCAGCCCCCGGCCAAUGACCACCAUGGACCUCCCUGUAGUUGAACAAAGUUGGGUUUGCUGACUGGUGGCAGUGAGGGAGAAUGCACACCACAGGGAGCUGUGCAGUGUCUCAGUAAGAAGGAGCCAUCCCGUGAGGCCGUUACUGCAAACAAGCUGAAAAUCCUGCUUUGUUUCUUUUGGACACAACAUGCUUUCCUUCAGCUUCAGUAGACGAUGAGGCCAGCACCACAUGGGCUAGAUGUACAUGAGAUGUGAGCAACCACACUUCCCCUCUGACGGGGACAGACAGCAUCACAGGACAUGAAGUUCUAAGAGGUUCAGUGACUUGUCUAAGAUUAAACAGCUAUGAAUGGAGAACUGGAGGCAAAUGCCUCAUCAUCUCUCACCUGGGCAACUGCAACAAUGAGCAGUUUGUGUCUGUGCCUGCAUCCAUCCUUCCAUCCUGUACUCCAGCAGCAGCCAGGGUGGUCUUUCAAAAAUGCAAAGCUGAUAAUGUUACUCCCCUGCUGUAAACCUUCCAGCGGUUUCCUAUUGCCUUCAGAAUAAAAUACGAAUCAUCUGGCCUCCA